RNAcentral lists this ribosomal RNA (253 nucleotides) under uncultured bacterium. RNAcentral's name for it is "partial 16S ribosomal RNA". It matches the Rfam family "Bacterial small subunit ribosomal RNA", at positions 524 to 776 of the family's 1533-position model. The record is from RNAcentral.
UACGUAGGUGGCAAGCGUUGUCCGGAUUUACUGGGCGUAAAGAGCGCGCAGGCGGUCGUUCAAGUCGCGUGUGAAAGCCCCCGGCUCAACUGGGGAGGGUCACGCGAUACUGAUCGACUCGAAGGCAGGAGAGGGUAGUGGAAUUCCCGGUGUAGUGGUGAAAUGCGUAGAUAUCGGGAGGAACACCAGUGGCGAAGGCGACUACCUGGCCUGUUCUUGACGCGGAGGCGCGAAAGCUAGGGGAGCAAACGGG